This is a long non-coding RNA of Oxyura jamaicensis (ruddy duck), 1337 nucleotides long. RefSeq lists it as uncharacterized. The transcript is spliced from 3 exons. The record is from RefSeq and is a predicted model, not a curated record. NCBI's taxonomy places the organism in Eukaryota, Metazoa, Chordata, Aves, Anseriformes, Anatidae.
UGCUUUACAAUGUACACACUCCACUCUUGACUGCCUAAAUGGCAUUGUCAUAAUUUCCGUGCUUCAGCUUGCAUGCACAUUGCCUGCAUCCUGUAGGCAGGUACAAGAAAAAAAAAAAAAAUUGUUGAGCUCUGUCCCUGCUCCUUGCACUUUCACCACUUGUCCCUGGGAGUCUCUAGGCUGGUGUGUACUGUACCUGCCACGAGGAAGGCAGCAUCUGCAAAGCCUCAGGGAAGCACAAUGCAUUAGAUCCUUCCAGCUGUAAGUGUUUGACUUGUGCCUGAAUCGUUUUAUGAAACUGUGAUGAUUAUGAAGAAACCCCAAUGGAGUAUACACACAAAUUUCUGGCAAGCUGUGGAGCAGUAACAGUUCAUGGAGCUGCCUUUCACAAACCUCGAAGUAGCUUUCAUCCUGCUGGCUUUUGUCAUUUUCUCCUUGUUUACCCUGGCAUCUAUCUACAGUGAUCCCCAUGACAACAAAGAAGAGGAAUGCUCCACACAGGAAGGAUACAAGAAAAGGAUCAAAUCCAACAAGAAAAAGACACGUGCAAAUAUGACUGAAGUGAUUUAGAAAAAGAACUGUUACCCAAGUCCACUGUUGGACAUACCGCUGAAAGAGGUAGCUUUGGAAGCUGGUCACCUGAAGACAGUGAGAAAAAGGAUGUGAGAAAGGAAGGACCUGAUCACCCAUCAGAUGGAAUCCAGACGUGACAAUUUGAGUUAAUGAACCAUGACCCAUGAAGCUGUUUCAGCACCUUUUUACAACCCCACUUCAUGGCCUUAAUAAAACUUCCAGGGCUUUUUUUUUUUUACAAAGCACAUCUGCUCGAAAUACUAAAGGGAGAGAAAGUAGAUUCAGAAGUUAUGUUUGGUUUCUUCCCUGCUUUUCAGUCAUGUACAAAGUAUAUUUAAGAUCAGCGUGUUUACUCUUCUAUCUGUUAAGUCAACUGAACAUCAGAAGAUACUAUUUCUACGAGACUGUAUAGUAUUAUUAUAGUAGUUAUUUAAUUUACAUUCACAUUAAUAAGCUGCUAAAGCUGACUCAAAAGUACCAGGCAAAUAUUUUUAAGUUAACCACUAUAAUGGCAUCUAUGUUCAUAUACUGUUUUUGACCCCAGAUAUUUAGAAAGCUAACAGGGUGUCUUAAGAAAAUUAGGUUGAUUGAUCUGCUGCUUUUGAAAGGUGCCUUGAUACUAAGUCCUCCAUUUCUUCACAGAGACAAAACAUUUCUACAGUUUUAGGAUCCCACCCAUUUCCUGUAGGUCUCAAGCACGAGUAUUACACCAGCACUGAUGCUUCUGUGCAGAAGUAAAAAGAAGCAAGGAGAAGGACAAAGUA